GGAUUGUAAACUUCUUUUAUUAAGGACGAAAAUUGACGGUACUUAAUGAAUAAGCUCCGGCUAACUACGUGCCAGCAGCCGCGGUAAUACGUAGGGAGCAAGCGUUGUCCGGAUUUACUGGGUGUAAAGGGUGCGUAGGCGGCUUUGCAAGUCAGAUGUGAAAUCUAUGGGCUCAACCCAUAAACUGCAUUUGAAACUGUAGAGCUUGAGUGAAGUAGAGGCAGGCGGAAUUCCCCGUGUAGCGGUGAAAUGCGUAGAGAUGGGGAGGAACACCAGUGGCGAAGGCGGCCUGCUGGGCUUUAACUGACGCUGAGGCACGAAAGCGUGGGUAGCAAACAGGAUUAGAUACCCUGGUAGUCCACGCUGUAAACGAUGAUUACUAGGUGUGGGGGGUCUGACCCCUUCCGUGCCGGAGUUAACACAAUAAGUAAUCCACCUGGGGAGUA
Molecule: ribosomal RNA, 446 nt
Filed under: uncultured bacterium
Lineage: Bacteria
Description: bacterial SSU rRNA
Rfam family: Bacterial small subunit ribosomal RNA
Source: RNAcentral